CCCAGUAACGGCGAGUGAAGCGGCAAGAGCUCAAAUUUGAAAUCUGGCCUCCCCCGGGGGCCCGAGUUGUAAUUUGCAGAGGAUGCUUCGGGUGCGGCCGCCGUCUAAGUUCCUUGGAACAGGACGUCAGAGAGGGUGAGAAUCCCGUCUUGGGCGGGCGGUCCGCGCCCGUGUGAAGCUCCUUCGACGAGUCGAGUUGUUUGGGAAUGCAGCUCUAAGCGGGUGGUAAAUUUCAUCUAAAGCUAAAUAUUGGCCGGAGACCGAUAGCGCACAAGUAGAGUGAUCGAAAGGUUAAAAGCACCUUGAAAAGGGAGUUAAACAGCACGUGAAAUUGUUGAAAGGGAAGCGCUUGCGGCCAGACUCGGGGGCGGGGUUCAGCGGGUGCUCGUCGCCCGUGUAUUCCUCGUCUCCCGGGCCAGCAUCAGUUUCGACGGCCGGUCAAAGGCCCCCGGAAUGUGUCGUCUCUCGGGACGUCUUAUAGCCGGGGGUGCAAUGCGGCCCGUCGGGACUGAGGAACGCGCUCCGGCUCGGAUGCUG
RNAcentral lists this ribosomal RNA (537 nucleotides) under Trichophyton mentagrophytes. RNAcentral describes it as "eukaryotic LSU rRNA". It matches the Rfam family "Eukaryotic large subunit ribosomal RNA", at positions 79 to 628 of the family's 3401-position model. Lineage: Eukaryota; Fungi; Ascomycota; Eurotiomycetes; Onygenales; Arthrodermataceae. The record is from RNAcentral.